This 591-nucleotide long non-coding RNA is filed under the name Carassius auratus (goldfish). Its description in RNAcentral is "lncRNA (ENSCARG00000061320.1)". Lineage: Eukaryota; Metazoa; Chordata; Actinopteri; Cypriniformes; Cyprinidae. The record is from RNAcentral.
AAAAUUAUUUUAAAAAAUUGCUUUUUCCGUUUAGAGAAGGAAUGUAGCAAAUGUAUCCACAAAUAAUGUGUAAAGUACAGUUAAUGCUCACUAAUCUCAUCUGUGUUCCGGUCUUCUUCUCAGAAUCUCUCUCUGAGUCAGUCUUCAUUCGCUCUGACUGCGCUGGGUUUAUUCACCUCAUCUCAUCUGACCGCUUGGUUUUCACUGCAGCUGAGAGGAUGCAGGCUCGAGUGCUGCUGAUCCUGAUACUCUCAUCAGUAUUAAUCACACAUGCUAAAGUGGACAAAUUCACAUGUGAAACUCCAGCCGAUAUUGUGAUGCUGGUGGACGGAUCGGGGAGUAUUAGCCAAGACAACUUCCAAACUGUGAAGACCUUUCUGGAAAGAUUUGUCAGGUCCUUUGGGGUUGGAUCAAACCAAACACGCAUUGGUACGUUUGCACUAUAUGUAUUCCCUGUAAGCUGCGCGCGCACGCGGCUGCGCACUUCUUCCACCGCGAACGCGCAGAAGAAAUAAUGUGCCGCUCACACGCAAAAAUGAGUUGGGAAAGCAAUUUCAUAGUAUUUUAGUAAAAACAAAAAAAAUUGCAAUG